Molecule: ribosomal RNA, 768 nt
Filed under: uncultured Bacilli bacterium
Lineage: Bacteria; Bacillati; Bacillota; Bacilli
Description: bacterial SSU rRNA
Rfam family: Bacterial small subunit ribosomal RNA
Source: RNAcentral
GACGAACGCUGGCGGCGUGCCUAAUACAUGCAAGUCGAGCGGACCGACGGGAGCUUGCUCCCUUAGGUCAGCGGCGGACGGGUGAGUAACACGUGGGUAACCUGCCUGUAAGACUGGGAUAACUCCGGGAAACCGGGGCUAAUACCGGAUGCUUGAUUGAACCGCAUGGUUCCAAUCAUAAAAGGUGGCUUUUAGCUACCACUUACAGAUGGACCCGCGGCGCAUUAGCUAGUUGGUGAGGUAACGGCUCACCAAGGCGACGAUGCGUAGCCGACCUGAGAGGGUGAUCGGCCACACUGGGACUGAGACACGGCCCAGACUCCUACGGGAGGCAGCAGUAGGGAAUCUUCCGCAAUGGACGAAAGUCUGACGGGGCAACGCCGCGUGAGUGAUGAAGGUAUUCGGAUCGUAAAACUCUGUUGUUAGGGAAGAACAAGUACCGUUCGAAUAGGGCGGCACCUUGACGGUACCUAACCAGAAAGCCACGGCUAACUACGUGCCAGCAGCCGCGGUAAUACGUAGGUGGCAAGCGUUGUCCGGAAUUAUUGGGCGUAAAGCGCGCGCAGGCGGUUUCUUAAGUCUGAUGUGAAAGCCCCCGGCUCAACCGGGGAGGGUCAUUGGAAACUGGGGAACUUGAGUGCAGAAGAGGAGAGUGGAAUUCCACGUGUAGCGGUGAAAUGCGUAGAGAUGUGGAGGAACACCAGUGGCGAAGGCGACUCUCUGGUCUGUAACUGACGCUGAGGCGCGAAAGCGUGGGGAGCGAACAGG